Molecule: ribosomal RNA, 755 nt
Filed under: uncultured bacterium
Lineage: Bacteria
Description: bacterial SSU rRNA
Rfam family: Bacterial small subunit ribosomal RNA
Source: RNAcentral
CUAGCUGGAGGCUUAAUACAUGCAAGUCGAGCGGGAUUGGUAGCAAUACCAUGAGAGCGGCGCACGGGUGAGUAACGCGUACACGACCUACCUCUGACAGGGGGAUAGCCCUGGGAAACUGGGAUUAAUACCGCAUAUUAUUCUGAUUAAUAAAGGAUUGGAAUGAAAGUUCAGGCGGUCAGAGAUGGGUGUGCGUCUGAUUAGCUAGUUGGUAGGGUAAUGGCCUACCAAGGCGAUGAUCAGUAGGGGGCGUGAGAGCGUGAUCCCCCACACGGGUACUGAGACACGGACCCGACUCCUACGGGAGGCAGCAGUAAGGAAUAUUGGACAAUGGCCGCAAGGCUGAUCCAGCCAUCCAGCGUGCAGGAAGAAGGCCCUAUGGGUUGUAAACUGCUUUUAUCAGGGAAGAAACCUCUGGAUUUACUCCGGAGCUGACGGUACCUGAAGAAUAAGCACCGGCUAACUCCGUGCCAGCAGCCGCGGUAAUACGGAGGGUGCGAGCGUUAUCCGGAAUUACUGGGUUUAAAGGGUGCGUAGGCGGCUAUGUAAGUCAGGAGUGAAAGUUUGCGGCUCAACCGUAAAAUUGCUUUUGAUACUGCAUAGCUGGAAUUAGGAUGAGGUCAGCGGAAUGUGGCAUGUAGCGGUGAAAUGCAUAGAUAUGCCAUAGAACACCAAUUGCGAAGGCAGCUGACUAGACCUGGAUUGACGCUGAGGCACGAAAGCGUGGGGAGCGAACAGGAUUAGAUACCCUGGUA